GGGAAAGCGAGAGAGCGAUCUGGAGCAAAUCCCAAAAAUAAACGUCCCAGUUCGGAUUGUAGUCUGCAACUCGACUACAUGAAGCUGGAAUCGCUAGUAAUCGCGAAUCAGCAUGUCGCGGUGAAUACGUUCCCGGGUCUUGUACACACCGCCCGUCACACCAUGGGAGUCGGUAACGCCCGAAGUCAGUGACCCAACCGGAAGGAGGGAGCUGCCGAAGGCGGGACUGGUAACUGGGGUGAAGUCGUAACAAGGUAAC
This 259-nucleotide ribosomal RNA is filed under the name uncultured bacterium. RNAcentral describes it as "partial 16S ribosomal RNA". It matches the Rfam family "Bacterial small subunit ribosomal RNA", at positions 1244 to 1500 of the family's 1533-position model. The record is from RNAcentral.